This 207-nucleotide ribosomal RNA is filed under the name uncultured bacterium. RNAcentral's name for it is "partial 16S ribosomal RNA". It matches the Rfam family "Bacterial small subunit ribosomal RNA", at positions 568 to 774 of the family's 1533-position model. The record is from RNAcentral.
CUCGUAGGCGGUUCGUCGCGUCCGGUGUGGAAGUCCAUCGCUUAACGGUGGAUCCGCGCCGGGUACGGGCGGGCUUGAGUGCGGUAGGGGAGACUGGAAUUCCCGGUGUAACGGUGGAAUGUGUAGAUAUCGGGAAGAACACCAAUGACGAAGGCAGGUCUCUGGGCCGUCACUGACGCUGAGGAGCGAAAGCGUGGGGAGCGAACA